RNAcentral lists this long non-coding RNA (219 nucleotides) under Brassica napus (rape). Its description in RNAcentral is "long non-coding RNA (BNAP_LNC006695)". The record is from RNAcentral. Lineage: Eukaryota; Viridiplantae; Streptophyta; Magnoliopsida; Brassicales; Brassicaceae.
UUGAGGAAGGGAAAAGACGCUAUGUUGUGCUGCCGCAGUACGUUUUGGCGGGUUUGUAUGGUUGGUCAAGGUGGGUUAGUUGUGAAUGCUUCUCUCGUCAUUUCUCAACAGCUUUUGGUAGGUUGCCACAUGAAGUUUAAAGAUGCGUUUCUCGGGGUCGUAUGAAGUUGUCGUAUAAGUUACCUUCUUUGAUCGAGGAGGGUUCUGAGAAGAAUCGUC